CUACGGGUCGCUGCAGUGAGGAAUAUUGCACAAUGGGGGGAACCCUGAUGCAGCAACGCCGCGUGGAGGAUGACGCAUUUCGGUGUGUAAACUCCUUUUAUAUGUCAAGAAAAUGACGGUAGCAUAUGAAUAAGCACCGGCUAACUCCGUGCCAGCAGCCGCGGUAAUACGGAGGGUGCAAGCGUUACUCGGAAUCACUGGGCGUAAAGGACGCGUAGGCGGGUUGGAAAGUCAGGUGUGAAAUCCUACAGCUUAACUGUAGAACUGCACUUGAAACUUCUAAUCUAGAGUAUGGGAGGGGGGAUGGAAUUAGUGGUGUAGGGGUAAAAUCCGUAGAUAUCACUAGGAAUACCUAAAGCGAAGGCGAUCUCCUGGAACAUUACUGACGCUAAGGCGUGAAAGCGUGGGGAGCAAACAGGAUUAGAUACCCGUGUAGUC
RNAcentral lists this ribosomal RNA (438 nucleotides) under uncultured bacterium. RNAcentral describes it as "partial 16S ribosomal RNA". It matches the Rfam family "Bacterial small subunit ribosomal RNA", at positions 339 to 795 of the family's 1533-position model. The record is from RNAcentral.